GUGUUAUAAUGGAAGGAGACUUAAUAAAAUUGAGAAUGGAAAUGGGGAAUGAUAUUAUAAUAAAAUGUAUUCUGUGUCUAUAAUCAACUUGAUAAAAAUAGCAUAUAACCUACACAUACUUUUGAGGAUUACUACUUGACAAAAUGGACAACAACAGAAGGCAGUGGCGGAUCCAGAGGGGGACGUAAAGUGUGUACGCCCCAUCCCCCCCCCCCCCUUUUGCUCGUUUUUUUUUUUUAAAUGAUUAAUCAUACGUAUUAUGUGAACUUUGCCAUUUCCUGUGUACUCUAUUAUUUAAUUUUUAUCCGACAAUUCUUUACUUUAUAUAGAGAUAUUUUUCGCUGGAAUUUACUGAUUGUCAAAGUCAUGUGAUUCGCUAUGGUGGAGUUGACCAGUGCUUCGAAAAACGUCGCUCAGUCAUUUUGAAAUUCAAAUUACAGUAACACAUUGCUUAAGCUGAGGAUUACAAUCAUGACACCUUCAAAGCGACAUAGGAUUGAGCAAGAACGUAUUGACUUCUAUUUCACUAUUCCACCAAACAGGAAGUAAUACUCUAUAGACUAUAACACUCUCAUGAAAAAAGUUCCAUGGCAAUAUUAUUUACAUGGACCUACGAAAACAUGUUUAACCCCAAACGCCAUUGUCAUGAUUGAUAUGGACUAUAUAAAAUUGCUGUUUGGUGUGAACCAAGCUUUGCGUUGAAGACCAAACUACAACUUUUAAUAGUUUACUUUUAUAAAUUGUGACUUGGAUAGACAGUUGUCUUUGGUACUUACAUGUAUAUGAGAUCCAGUAAUAUCUAUCUACAAGAUUGAGAACAC
This 821-nucleotide long non-coding RNA is filed under the name Mytilus galloprovincialis (Mediterranean mussel). The record is from RNAcentral. Lineage: Eukaryota; Metazoa; Mollusca; Bivalvia; Mytilida; Mytilidae.